Salvia splendens (bonfire salvia) is the source of this 680-nucleotide long non-coding RNA. RefSeq lists it as uncharacterized. The record is from RefSeq and is a predicted model, not a curated record. The transcript is spliced from 3 exons. NCBI's taxonomy places the organism in Eukaryota, Viridiplantae, Streptophyta, Magnoliopsida, Lamiales, Lamiaceae.
UAGCGAUGUCGGGCCGGGUUAUGGGGGCGCCUGGGGUGAGCGAAUCACCUUUUGUCCCUAAGGAUAAGAAGCAUGUUAAAUCAAGACGAGACAUUAGACAAAAUCACAUCAUAUCAAACACGUUUUCCAAACGAUGUACUUGAUAGUCGUCUUUUCAGGCAAAAAGAUGUAAUAUUCUUGCCAUUUUUGGUAUAUUGAAUUAUUGAUUUCCCAACUUGCCUCAUUUGGUAAAAAGUCCAUAACCUUUGGACAACACCUCUCCCCUCAUGCAUAAAAGUUAACCAUGUAAACCCCUCUACCCUUUUGUUCCUUCACAAAAAAUUCUCCAAACAAAAUUCUAUCAAAAUGAGGAUGCAUGUAAGUGUUUGAAGAAGAGGAGUCCAAUUUCCUACUCACUACCCUUCUUCUCCUCCUUUUCUCAAGGCUAUUUUCGCAAGUUAAGGGCGGAGUAAUGAAAAAUUCAAGUUAAGGAACUUUAAACGAACGAGGUUGAGCCGUGGAUGAAGUGGUGCUGAGUGAGUUAGUUGAAUUUCCCUAUCAUUGUAGGACCCUCGAAGGCAUAUGUCUCCAUACAUAUUGUCGCGUCCAAACCUUCUUCCGUUGUGCACUUUAUUCAUGUUUUGUGAUAGACUUUUUUAUGAGAACUAUGAUACGAAUAUGUAGUACUAGUUAAUGAAAUC